Molecule: long non-coding RNA, 425 nt
Organism: Pezoporus flaviventris
Lineage: Eukaryota; Metazoa; Chordata; Aves; Psittaciformes; Psittacidae
Exons: 3
Source: RefSeq, a predicted model, not a curated record
UCAGUAGUUCAUUGACUUUGCUGGGAAUGGUGCUGCUAAUUGAAGGACAGUCUGCAUACUUCAGUCUAAGGCUUUAGAUUGGGUCUUUCACUGUUGUGUCAUCUUUUCAGCCAAAAGCUGACUGUUGGGAUGAACUGACUGAAAAAACAGAAAAAAUGUAGCAUUUUUUGGAUGCUGGGAGACGUUUUGUUGACCUUAGAUGCUCUUUUUUUCUCCAUAUAGACAGAGUUUAAAUAUUUUUUACAGAGGAACCCACCAUGGCUCCAACAAUGAAACACAGUUUCAUUAACAUCAGCAGUAAUGUUUUUAUGGAGAAGGCUUGUCCUGUCUUGUAAAGACAGGUUGGAGAGCCAAAAGGCUAAGCAGUUUUCUUUCUGAGUGUCAAUUGUUCUGUCAUAAACAGGGCAAUGAAGGAAAUUUUGACA